AUGAUCAAGAAACAAAAACAUUAAAGAGAGAAGACUUUUGUGCAUUUUUGAAUGAUAAAAGAGGACUUUGAAGGCUUGCCUUAAAUGAGAGAAAUAUCUCUCUUUUGUCUCUCUUUCCUCACUCUCUCUCUCAUUUCACGUCCACCCCCUCCUCUCUCUUUUCUAUCUCUCCAUUUUCCUCUCAAUUUUCACUCUUCUUCCCCCUUUUCUUCCUUUCUCGGCCAAACCAGCAGAACAGCCUUUGGGCUGCUGUUCUUGCUGCUUUACACCACCACUGAACCACCAGCAGCUCGCCGUGUUUGCCUGGAGCCGUACGCCGCCCGUUCAAGCCUUUUUCCGCCGCCGGUUCAAGGCCGCCGAGCCAAAAACAGCCGCCCCAAGUUGCUGUCCAGCCGAGACACAGUCGUCGUUGUCGUCUUUCCGUGUCGAUUCUGGACCGUGCAAAGCGUAGCCCUCGCCGCCGCCGACGCACCGGUGUCUCCGGAAUUUUAAUCGGGUGCUCAGAUAUGAGUACGCGUUGCGUUCCAAGAGAACUGGCUGUUUCGAGGGGAAACACCUUUUUGAGGUUAUCCUCGUAGAUAGAGGAGUUAGAUUAACCCCUACCUUUUGUGGUUGCAAUCGGAUAGGUCUGUGUGGCGGACUCGUAAUAUGUUAACCCUAUGUAUUGUUGAUGUUGUUUAAAUUGAGGUAUGUUUUCCUGAC
Molecule: long non-coding RNA, 702 nt
Organism: Syzygium oleosum
Lineage: Eukaryota; Viridiplantae; Streptophyta; Magnoliopsida; Myrtales; Myrtaceae
Exons: 2
Source: RefSeq, a predicted model, not a curated record